RNA transcript from Prionailurus viverrinus (fishing cat), 5310 nucleotides. It is a transcript of the gene named methyl-CpG-binding domain protein 2-like, with no coding region annotated. Lineage: Eukaryota; Metazoa; Chordata; Mammalia; Carnivora; Felidae. The record is from RefSeq and is a predicted model, not a curated record. The transcript has 3 exons.
UCAGGACUCGGGUCCCUGGGUUCCAGGUCACAGUGGGGUAUGCAGCGGCCUCCGGGCCUGAGGGAAGCAGGAAUCCGGGUGGCAGAGCUCGCGAUCGUGCUCGUCGUCCUCUCCUCAGCAGCAAAAACACCAGAUGCGCCGGGCGCUGACCUGCGGGGGAGUCCGGAGUCCUCCAAGUGCCCCCGGGGGUGGGGGAGCGGCCUCGGCCGCGCUCUCGGCUCGGGCAGCGCAACGCGGAAGUACCACCUUCGUCUCCGCUUCACUCCAUCGCGCCCUGACGUUGGGUGCGAGUUCAGGGGAGGGGAGUGGGCGAGACAACAACACGCCUCCGCCGCCGCCUCCUCAGCGUCGACGUCGUCCUCCUGUGGUGGCGGCGACACACGGCGGGCGCCUCGGAAGUGGCCUGGGCCUGACAACAACUCCCGGCCUAGGGCCUCGCGCACUCUGCCGCCCGCAGGGACGGGCGGCGGGGCGGGGCGAGGCGGGGGCGACCGGGCUGCGGCUCACGGUUGGGGCAGCGAGUGUGCGGGGCUGGGCGGGGGGCUGUUUCCGGGGAGAUAGGGGCGGGGGGGGAGUUUCUGAGCCUGUGGCGGUGGGUUCGGGCCCUGACUUUCUUCUUCCUUCGCCGCCGCCGCGAACAGAGGUGGCGGAGCUCCCUUUUCCUCCGCUCCCCCCCCUCCACGAGGAGGCUCCUGGUGUGCGCGGCCGGCCCCGGAUCGCUCCUCCCCUCCCCUCGCCGGUCUUCGUCAGGAGGAGGGAGGGCGACGGGACUUGCUGGUUGGGCCCUAACCUCCACAACCCCUCCUUCUCGCCUCGCUCUUUCGGCCUUUCCCCUCGGCCCUGACGCAAGGCCGGGGACGCGCACGCACGUCACGCUCCGAGAAAGCCGAAGGUGAGUGGUGUCGGGGCAAAGGAGGCGGGAACAAAGUUGCCGCGCACCAGCGUGCUCGCUCCCGCUGGAGACGGGCGUGCGGGCCGGAAGUGGCGUAACGUAGAAACGGCUUCACUUCCGGUGAGGGUGGGACUCUGUGUGAAGAAGGGUUAAAGAAAGGAGAGGUUUCGUGUACCGCCCACUGCUGUCGCUCGAGACUCUCGCAGUGAUGGCACGCCGGUCGUGCCUGUUGCGUCCAACGCGGUGUUGCACCGCCCGCCUGUUGAAAGGUCACGGCGACAGCAAGAAUCUAGAGACUCAUUAGUAACGCCGUUAGGAGCCUCUGGGCUGGGUAGUCAUUCUAUCUUGUACCCUCAGCCAAAUCCCGGGGAUGGAAUAGCUGCGACAGGAAAAGAGAGGGCACCGUGCAAAAGAGAGCAGAAGUGGCGUUGGUUUAAACUGUCUUACGAACACCCAAGUUGGAGGCCCCAUCUUAACCUAAAAGCACACUUGGGAAUCAGAGUCUUGAGCUUUGGUAACACUGAAAUUUACUUUAAAAAAGAAAGAGCCUUGAAUUGAUUUGGGGAAUAAAUGAAACUUCCAAAGGAACUACUGGAAAUCCCAAAAUUAUUACCAACAGCUAGAAGUCAAAACAUUUUGCCCAAAUGAGGACUGCCCUCUUGGCACUUCACCCACUUUCUUCUUAAUAUCUAAACCUAUGGCGCUGCCAAACGUAGCCAUUCGGUGACCUCAUGUCUCCGUUCUUGCCUUCCCAAAUUGCCUUUCAGUUAUAGACUGGGCUCAUAGGAUAAUUAGAUUGAAAUUUAAAUGGGUUAUUGGCUUUUAAUAUACUUGAAAAAAAGCUGAGCAGUCCAUUCAGUGGCUACAAGUAGUAACCCCUUUACAUGUUUGUUUUUUCAGAUCAUCAGUUGGUUCUUAGUUCCCAAACACUUGGUAUGCUUCCAUCAUUCAUACCUUAGUGUAAAUAUUUUAAUUGGUUUGACAUCCACUAACACUGUAUUUCAGACUGGACUAAUCUAAGCUAAAAUCAGACUUUACUGAAAGAAAGAAUACAAAGGGUAUGUGUUUGCUGAAGGAUAAAGGAGGAGGCAAAGCAUUGCCCAGGAAGGUAGGCCUGGGUGGGCCACACAGUGGGCUCUACUGUGCAGCCAGAAGGAAGUGGUAAGGGCACUGGAAAACGGAAUAGAAAAGUAAGGGCCAGGGUGCCUAAAACAAAUUCCUCCUUGGCAGUAUGCUGAGUGAAGGUCGUAUAGCCUGCUAAAGACCAGUUAGGACAUGUUUUUUUCCAAAAAAUAGGAUUAACCUCUACUAUCAUCGUACUUUGAAAAGCCUGGAGUAACAGAGCAGGGGAGCAAGAUAAGAGACUUAUUUAGCAGUUUCUCAAAUCUAUAACCAAUUUCACGUGAGAAUGUGAUCUAUACUUGUAAAAAAACUUGACCCAUAAUUCAUGGGCAGCUUCCAGGCCAGGUUGCAAACAGAAAAGAUGUACUAAAAUAUUUUUAGUGGGAUUUUGCUGCCCACAUGUUUCUGUAAAGAUUCUAUCUUGGGAGCAAUGGGAAGAAGUGGAAGAAAUGAAGCAUUUUGAGCUCUUGAGAGAUACCUGCCUGCAUACAAUGAAAUACUAAUAAUUAAUAGACUCCAAACUAAAAACAAAAGACAAAAACAAAAAAUGAGAAAGACCUUCAGAUUAAAAGCCAUCUGUUUCUAUAAGCUUGUCUACUUGUCUUCAUAUAAAGAGGUUUGAAAUUGCCAGUUGGGACUAUAUUUUAGUAUUUUCCUGUUUGUGUGUUAUAAUUUAUUGCCUCUUGAUUUUAAAAGAAAAAAAAAAACAGGUGGUAAGUUUUUUGCUUUCUUUAUCUAACAGUCAUAUCGUACCAUAUCAGCUGUUCUUAAAGUAUGCCUUGAGACUAAAACCUAUUCAGCGACUCAUGCAGUCAGAACACUUUUCCUAAUAAUAAGAUAUGAUUUGUCCUUUUUAUUCUAAUUCUUUCAUGAAUGUAUGGUGGAGUUUUCCAGAGACGACAUGACAUGUGAUGACAUCAUCGUUCUGGUGGCUAAUAGAAUGUGUGCUUGUGUGUUCAUUUGUUUUCUAGAAUGUUCUAAGGUAUUAGGUUUCUGAAAUAUGUAAACAUUUGGAAAAUCUGCAUAACUCCAUGAACUGAUAUUUUCCAUAUGAGUAAUGGGUGAUGUUACAAAGUCAUGAGUAAAACAUUCAUUCAAAGUGCAAGACCGACUGAGGGAUUUUAAUAUAACAGUACAAAACAUUCAUGGAUAGGAUUUGAGAUUCCACUUUACAACUAACCUUUAAGAAACUACUGUGGCGUUUUGAUGUAAUAUCAAAGAAUAACCACAAUUAUCUGGAAAGGGUAUUAAAAUACUCCCUCUCUUUUCCAAGGACAUAUCUUGUUCAUAUAUUUUCACUGAAACAACAUACUGCGACAAAUGGCAUAAAAAGGCAGAAAUGAGAAUCAGUUUUGGUUCUAUUAAACCAGUCGAUAAAGAGAUCUCCAGAAAGCCGUCUUGUGACUACAAAGGAACAAGUGCGGGCUAAGGAUUACUAGGUGGAGGGAGAGUGGAGGACCCUGGCUCCCUGAGGAUGUUGUGGAUGUGCCAAACCAAUCCUGGACUGAAAAAGACAUAAAUCUGGCGUAUAACUUCAAGUGGCUCUGCAAAGAGUCUGGUUGCAACCUCAGACUCACUAGCUUGAUGGAAGAAAAGUGGGGCCCAGAAAAGACCAGGGAAAUUUACUCUGACUGGAGCCAGGAGGCUGAAGCUUGGGCACCCUGGCUGGGGCUCGGAUCUAAGAAGGUGCAAUCCUGUUGGCGGCAGGGUGGGGAAAUGACAGCAGAAAUACAUCUGUUAGGUGGACAGAGGAUAUCAUGAUGAUGAGUCACAAGUCUAUGAAGCAAUUCCUAAAUCUUGGCUUGCCUCAUGACCACUUAGGGAUCUGGCUUAAAACGCACAAUUUUAUCUCUCCCUUCAGAGAUUCUAACAUAGCGAGUCCAGAGCUGGACCCAACGGGUGUGAAUGUAAGCAGCAUCCCAGGAGGCACCGAUGCACUUGGUCCCUGGAGAAAUACUGGUAUUGCUAGCAACAAUUCCAGGCACAAAGAUCAGGAAGUAUCUGGCCUCUUACUCACCAAGCUUGCUAAGAAAGAUGUCAGGGCCCAAGAGGAGCCAUCUUGUGAAGAACCGGGAUCUCAAACAUGAACUGAGGUGGACGCCUCAUCACCCCACGUGGAAAGGGCAAGGGGAUUCCAGAGAGCCACUGACCUAAACCACAAGCAUGGAAAAUGAGAGGCGCCUCUCCGACGCCCCACUCCGAGCUCAGACUGAUAACCAGCUCUGGAAGGCACGUUGUUUUCCUAUGAAAUGACCCCAAACCAAAGAUUGGCUGUCCAACCAAGUUACUUUAUUAGUACUUCUGCUCUAAGCUGGCUUUGGAGUCCAUAUAACCAACGUGAAAUCUUGUAACCGCUUCUUGGAGGAUCAUAGAGUUAGCUGUAAAAUUAAUAAUCCAGAAGCCAAGGGACAUAGAACUCUAAAGGCAAAAACUGGAUUAUUUGGUGUGAACGAUUGAAACGAAGGAGUUGGGAGGGGAGUGAUGUCUUACUCAGGAUGCGUCACCAGAGGGCGCCAGAGCAUCCUUCUCCAAAAGAAGUUUCUGUUGCCCUAAAACCCGUUAAGCUUCAGUUAAACAAAAUAGUUGCCCAAAGCGACAGUCUCCACCGAAGUCACCCUAAAGACAGAAGACAGUGGACAGGUGGCCCUCUUAAAAAGUUACUGGAGGUAUGUAAUUUCGUUGAUGCCAUCAGCUUUAUGUUAAAAAUGGAUGUAACUUUCCCCCGAAUCUCCUGCUUUUAUUAUACUUAAUAUAGCGCACGACGUUUCACAUUUCUUACGCCCAGUAAACAGGAUGCUCCAGAGGACGCAGUGCCUGUCGCCUGCACACUCUGGCGCCGACCCGCCAUCCUGAAUUCCUGUAGCCCAAUCUCCUGGGGAGCACGAACCUACCCACCUGCUGGACACCUCCAACUAGCCCUGACCCUGAACUUGGAACCUCCGGCUGUCGAGGCUGAUGACCUCAGAGAGCCCCAGUUCCGCUGUCCUCUUUUCACACAGGGGAAACUGAGGCUCAAGAGGGGCACAGGGACCUGUUAAGAGUUGCACUUCAGGUUAGUCUGUCGGAGAGGUAAAACUUUUUUUAGCCCAUGAACUAACCAACAGAAAGGGGUCUUGGUCCACUGAUGUUCUAAAGCCUAAAAAAGGAUAAGAAAGAAUCUGAGACCCGGGAAAUGGGUUCAAAAUGCAAAAAGCCAGCCACGUUGGGGCGUAGGGGAGAGGCGGCGCAGAGCAAUACGCUCCUGCAAAAUUGCCCUGUGGUGCUGCCACCUUCUGUUCAACUAGGAAAUUAAACUC